This 2973-nucleotide unclassified non-coding RNA is filed under the name Hevea brasiliensis (rubber tree). The record is from RNAcentral. Lineage: Eukaryota; Viridiplantae; Streptophyta; Magnoliopsida; Malpighiales; Euphorbiaceae.
GAAAUGUUAAAGACUAAAAACGAUAUUUUUGAUAACACAAGGAUCAAUUCAUUAAUUUCACUAUAUCAAGUCUUACGACAAUUAUGGUAUUCAUUGACUGAGAUGGUAUCAGUCUAGUAUGUAGAGGAGAAAAGAUAAACAGGGGAGCUGGGAGAGACGCAAAAGCAGAAUAUUUACGUCGAUAAGUUACCGAAUCACUUUUUUCAAGGGAUCAAUCUCUACCCCAUAGCUUUCUUCUGCGCAAUGCGAUAAAUGAACAGAAUAAACCCUCUUUAUGAACCUGCAAGUUGACGAAUAUACUUCAGGGGCCGACUACUACAAUCAGCUGAGCAUAGUAGGAUGCCCUGUCUGUAUUAUCCUCUUGAGCAUGUCCAUCCCAAACGCAGAAUCCGAUGAACUGAGUAAUGGCAGUAUAAUGUUAACUCAGCAGUUUAAUCAUGAGCUUCAGAGAAAUUUCCUAACAGAAAAUUGCGACAUAACAAUUUCUCAUUAACAGAACAAGGACAUCAGGCGCAGUCAGUUAUAACCUAGUAUGCUGAAUGUAAUUAGCACAAAGACAACCUCAGCUUAUUAGUUCACUAAAGCUAAAAAUAAAAUGCUGAUGACAGAGGCGAGUCUAACUAGUCCCUUGCUAACUCAACUUAAACCAAGGGAGUUAAAAUGGUUUUGGUUAGCUGCAGGUGGAGAAUAGACAAGUAGACCUGCCUUUUCAUCAUCACUUGUAUGCUCUAAAGAUUAAAAGCAAGAAAUGAACGAGGAAGGAGCAGUAGGUUUUGACUGAACCUUCAAACAGAGCCAUACGUACACUUGAUCUUAAAGUACUCCAGCAGUAUCUACAAUUGACAGCUAUGCAGUAUGUUAUCAGUUUCUAUAUCCAUUUUACAAAUUCCAUCUAUUCUCAUCGUCAAGUAAACUAGUGCCUUUUGUCAUUCAAUUGAUUGAAAAAAGGUUCCAUUAACAAAAGUAUAUUGCCUUCAUUAUGCCUCUCCUUCCAUGAUAUACUACCACCAAUAACUAUCCAUCCCACACACAAGAUUGCAACUCAAUAAUGACCCUCCCUUCCCCUAGGCACUGUUAUUGCAAAGGAAUUUUAUGGCUCAGACAGACUACAAUAAUAAAUAUACUGAAGUUCCAAGGAAUAAGCAAAGACAUUAGAUACUUACUAUAGUAGUUGAUCCAAUACAAGUUUGUUAACAAAUGAAAGAAUAUUUAGCAUUAUUGCGUCAGCAAUCAUAAUAUCAAUUUCCUUUCUUCAAGUGAUAGAAACAAACUUUUCACAAACAGUCAUUGUUUACUCUGCCUUCACAUUUCAAUUUCCUUUCUUCAAUUAUGAAAUAUGUUUCACUUUCCUAAAUACACAGUUUAAGCUAUAUGUUGUUUCUUAUAUUCAAAAUUUCUACACACCAAGUAAAUGGUAAAAUCAUAAUACCAAAUUUUCACAAACUUAUAAGCAACCUAAUAAAAGGACAACACUGCCAACAUACUAACACAAUAUCACCAGAACCAAACUACUGUUACUUCAUAAGAGAUCAAGAAUAUUAAAAUGGUUCAAAGAACAGAAAGAAUAACAAAAAAUAGAUUCACCCAACACAACAUGCAUGAUAUGCAACCUAAUAUAACCAAGACCAAUAUGCAUCACAAGCAGAGGAGAAAAUGAAGAACAACUGACCUCGGGAUGUGAAUUUCAUAAGGAAAAUAGAUGACACUCUCAGUUAUAGGGGGAACAUGAUCUUUUUUCUCAUUCACAAAUUUUAUUAUUUGGAACAAAACCUCGCGAAGAGAUACUUCAAGUGAUGCUCUGCGAACACUCCUCUCCUCAGAUGCACUCUCUCCUGGAUCAACAACUAUUUUAGAAUGAUGAGACUUUCCAGAGUGUGCUUUUGGUUUUGGGUGUUGAGUCACAUUCAAAUUGAUAUGCCAUUGUUCCCAAUCUAGUCGUUCAAUUUUGUUAGUGAACCAUGAUGGAUGCUUGCUUUUCACUUCAUAAAAGGACAAACAUAUCUGCAUCAUAACUCAGAAGUAAACAAACAAUAUAAAGAUCAUAAAAAGAUGUAACAUUGCUAAUUUAACUAGAAGAGAUGGAAAAAUGGUAUAUCAAAAAAGAUAGAGAAUUGGACUAUUAUCAAUCAUUGUUCAGCACAAGACGAGGCAUACCAAACGCAAAACAUGCAGCAUGCAGAAAUGUUGAUGCCACCAGGACACUUAGAAGAUCCUGAAUGAUGAGAAAAAGGAUGAAAUGCUUGUCCUUGCCGAGUGGCAAAUACAACAUAACUCAACUCAACUACAUGUUAAUCCCAAUCUAGUUGAAGUUGGGCCAUUGAAUUAGACUCUUUUCCGCAUUUUCAGUAGAUGAUACCAAAUAUUAGACCCAGUUAUGUAGGAUGCAUAACAUUCGGGACUGAAUCACUUCCCCGCAUCAUCAAAUACCCGCCCAUGGAAAUAAAAAGAAUACACAGAAACUUGAGAUGGUAAUAAACUAAUUAUUUUCACAACUUAAAAAGGAUUUGGCAUACAGACCUCGCUUUUCUUAUUCGGGUGUUUCUCAACCCAACUUACAAAUUGCUCAAUCUUCUCAUCUAUUUUCUUUUCAACUUCGAUAUCCCCACAUUGCACAUAUGUAAUAUCAAAGAGCUCCAAAUCAAUGUCUUUAGGCCGGACAAGACCUAAAGCCCGAUGAAAGACAAUUGUAUGUAAUAUGCAGCGUAGAACUUCCCGUAUCUCAAAGUGCUCCACCUCCAGUUCUUUGAGUUGGCAAACUUCGCAAUUCAUGAUGAUUUUUGGUGAGAAAAUUGAGCAAAGACUGACGUAGAUCAAUCUAAAAUUGAAAAUUGGAAAGCUAGGAGAUGUUUUGGAAGUUGGAUUAAUGAAAGGUGGGCAACGAACGAUGGGUGAAGUAAGGUAAAGUCGACGGUGGAGCUUCGCGUAUGGUAGUGAUCUAUUCCUGAUAGGAGUACAGUAGUAGUAGUAGUAAAU